Molecule: ribosomal RNA, 490 nt
Filed under: uncultured bacterium
Lineage: Bacteria
Description: bacterial SSU rRNA
Rfam family: Bacterial small subunit ribosomal RNA
Source: RNAcentral
GAUGAACGCUGGCGGCGUGCUUAACACAUGCAAGUCGAACGGAGAAAGGGUAGCUUGCUAUCUUUUCUUAGUGGCGGACGGGUGAGUAACGCGUGGGUAACCUGCCCUUUGCAGGGGGAUAACAGUGAGAAAUCACUGCUAAUACCGCAUACCAACUUCUUUCGCAUGAAGGAAGUUUGAAAGAUUUAUCGGCAAAGGAUGGACCCGCGUUGGAUUAGCUAGUUGGUGAGAUAACAGCCCACCAAGGCAACGAUCCAUAGCCGGCCUGAGAGGGUGAACGGCCACACUGGGACUGAGACACGGCCCAGACUCCUACGGGAGGCAGCAGUGGGGAAUAUUGCACAAUGGGCGAAAGCCUGAUGCAGCGACGCCGCGUGAAGGAUGAAGGUCUUCGGAUUGUAAACUUCUAUCAGCAGGGAAGAAAGGGCCUAUGGCCUAUGACGGUACCUGACUAAGAAGCCCCGGCUAACUACGUGCCAGCAGCCGCGGU